UACGAAGGGGGCUAGCGUUGUUCGAAAUUACUGGGCGUAAAGCGUGCGCAGGCGGUUAUGCAAGACAGAGGUGAAAUCCCCGGGCUCAACCUGGGAACUGCCUUUGUGACUGCAUAGCUAGAGUACGGCAGAGGGGGAUGGAAUUCCGCGUGUAGCAGUGAAAUGCGUAGAUAUGCGGAGGAACACCGAUGGCGAAGGCAAUCCCCUGGGCCUGUACUGACGCUCAUGCACGAAAGCGUGGGGAGCAAACAGG
This 253-nucleotide ribosomal RNA is filed under the name uncultured bacterium. RNAcentral describes it as "partial 16S ribosomal RNA". It matches the Rfam family "Bacterial small subunit ribosomal RNA", at positions 524 to 776 of the family's 1533-position model. The record is from RNAcentral.